RNAcentral lists this transfer RNA (71 nucleotides) under Drepanopeziza brunnea f. sp. 'multigermtubi'. RNAcentral describes it as "Marssonina brunnea f. sp. 'multigermtubi' tRNA-Ile". It matches the Rfam family "tRNA". From Rfam's summary of the family: Transfer RNA (tRNA) molecules are approximately 80 nucleotides in length. Their secondary structure includes four short double-helical elements and three loops (D, anti-codon, and T loops). The record is from RNAcentral. Lineage: Eukaryota; Fungi; Ascomycota; Leotiomycetes; Helotiales; Drepanopezizaceae.
GUCUGAUUAGCAUAAAAGUAAUGUAGCUGUUUUGUAACCAGCUGAAGCAAGUGCGAUACUUGCAUUGGACU